UACGUAGGUGGCAAGCGUUGUCCGGAUUUAUUGGGCGUAAAGCGAGCGCAGGCGGUCUUUUAAGUCUGAUGUGAAAGCCCCCGGCUUAACCGGGGAGGGUCAUUGGAAACUGGGAGACUUGAGUGCAGAAGAGGAAAGCGGAAUUCCAUGUGUAGCGGUGAAAUGCGUAGAGAUUAGGAAGAAUACCAGUGGCGAAGGCGACUUUCUGGACUGUAACUGACACUGAGGCUCGAAAGCGUGGGGAGCAAACAGGAUUAGAUACCCUGGUAGUCCACGCCGUAAACGAUGAGUGCUAAGUGUUGGAGGGUUUCCGCCCUUCAGUGCUGCAGCAAACGCAUUAAGCACUCCGCCUGGGGAGUACGACCGCAAGGUUGAA
RNAcentral lists this ribosomal RNA (376 nucleotides) under uncultured bacterium. RNAcentral's name for it is "bacterial SSU rRNA". It matches the Rfam family "Bacterial small subunit ribosomal RNA", at positions 524 to 898 of the family's 1533-position model. The record is from RNAcentral.